This 292-nucleotide ribosomal RNA is filed under the name uncultured bacterium. Its description in RNAcentral is "partial 16S ribosomal RNA". It matches the Rfam family "Bacterial small subunit ribosomal RNA", at positions 505 to 796 of the family's 1533-position model. The record is from RNAcentral.
GUGUCAGCAGCCGCGGUAAUACGUAGGUGGCAAGCGUUGUCCGGAUUUACUGGGCGUAAAGGAUGCGUAGGCGGACAUUUAAGUCAGAUGUGAAAUACCCGAGCUUAACUUGGGUGCUGCAUUUGAAACUGGGUGUCUAGAGUGCAGGAGAGGUAAGUGGAAUUCCUAGUGUAGCGGUGAAAUGCGUAGAGAUUAGGAAGAACACCAGUGGCGAAGGCGACUUACUGGACUGUAACUGACGCUGAGGCAUGAAAGCGUGGGGAGCAAACAGGAUUAGAAACCCUCGUAGUCC